RNAcentral lists this transfer RNA (57 nucleotides) under Heterocephalus glaber (naked mole-rat). It matches the Rfam family "tRNA", at positions 8 to 63 of the family's 71-position model. From Rfam's summary of the family: Transfer RNA (tRNA) molecules are approximately 80 nucleotides in length. Their secondary structure includes four short double-helical elements and three loops (D, anti-codon, and T loops). The record is from Rfam by way of RNAcentral. Lineage: Eukaryota; Metazoa; Chordata; Mammalia; Rodentia; Bathyergidae.
UAGCUCAGUGGUAGAGCACAUGCUUGACAUGCACAAGGCCCUGAGUUCAAUCCUCAG